AUGCAUGUCUAAGUACACGCCUUUACACGGCAAAACUGCGAAUGGCUCAUUAAAUCAGUUAUGGUUCCUUAGAUCGUACAAUCCUACUUGGAUAACUGUGGCAAUUCUAGAGCUAAUACAUGUCGCACAGCUCCGACCCUUGCGGGGAAGAGCGCUUUUGUUAGCCCAAAACCAACGCGGCGGUCGUUCACGCGGCCGUCGCUCCACUAUGGUGAAUCUGAACAACUUUGUGCCGAUCGCACGGCCUUUGCGCCGGCGACGCAUCUUUCAAGUGUCUGCCCUAUCAACUUUCGAUGGUACGUGCUAUGCCUACCAUGGUGAUAACGGGUAAC
This 332-nucleotide ribosomal RNA is filed under the name Nototeredo norvagica. RNAcentral describes it as "SSU rRNA". It matches the Rfam family "Eukaryotic small subunit ribosomal RNA", at positions 51 to 363 of the family's 1831-position model. The record is from RNAcentral. Lineage: Eukaryota; Metazoa; Mollusca; Bivalvia; Myida; Teredinidae.